ACGGAAGGCAGCAGUGAGGAAUAUUGGACGAUGGCCGGAAGGCUGAUCCAGCCAUGCCGCGUGAAGGCAGACGGUCCUAUGGAUUGUAAACUUCUUUUGUACGGGAGCAAUAAGGUGGACGUGUCCAUCGAUGAGAGUACCGUACGAAUAAGCAUCGGCUAACUCCGUGCCAGCAGCCGCGGUAAUACGGAGGAUGCGAGCGUUAUCCGGAUUUAUUGGGUUUAAAGGGUGCGUAGGCGGGCUGGUAAGUCAGCGGUGAAACGCAGGUGCUCAACACCUGACCUGCCGUUGAUACUGCCGGGCUUGAAUGCGGAUGCUGUGGGAGGAAUGUGUGGUGUAGCGGUGAAAUGCAUAGAUAUCACACAGAACACCGAUUGCGAAGGCAUCUCACAAAUCCGCAAUUGACGCUGAGGCACGAAAGUGCGGGGAGCGAACAGGAUUAGAUACCCUGGUA
This 454-nucleotide ribosomal RNA is filed under the name uncultured Porphyromonadaceae bacterium. RNAcentral describes it as "partial 16S ribosomal RNA". It matches the Rfam family "Bacterial small subunit ribosomal RNA", at positions 341 to 792 of the family's 1533-position model. The record is from RNAcentral. Lineage: Bacteria; Pseudomonadati; Bacteroidota; Bacteroidia; Bacteroidales; Porphyromonadaceae.